Molecule: non-coding RNA, 220 nt
Organism: Ictidomys tridecemlineatus (thirteen-lined ground squirrel)
Lineage: Eukaryota; Metazoa; Chordata; Mammalia; Rodentia; Sciuridae
Source: RefSeq, a predicted model, not a curated record
UGAAAUAGGAUCUCACUAAGUUGACCAGGAUGGCCUCCAACUUGUGAUCCUCCUGCCUACCUUCCCAAGAGGCUGGAAUUACACUCUUAUUUCUUCUUCACAAUUAUCCAAUCGGGUCCCUAGCGGAGACAAAAGAAGCAGAAGGAACUCCUAUGAACUUCAGAAUGAACCACAUUUUCCUGAAAGCUGGCUCUGCCACAUAUUGGAUACACAACCUCAG